Molecule: unclassified non-coding RNA, 473 nt
Filed under: Hevea brasiliensis (rubber tree)
Lineage: Eukaryota; Viridiplantae; Streptophyta; Magnoliopsida; Malpighiales; Euphorbiaceae
Source: RNAcentral
GUCGUUUUAAACUAGACUGGCGUUUCCCUUUUCCCUGUGAGAAGAACGAAGAUCAAUUUCGCCGGCGAAAAUUUAGGUUUCCGGCGAUGGAACAACUGAGUGAAGAAGAGAAAAAGGCGCUUCGUGGAAGCAAAUUUGCACCGCUACCUUCUGCACCUUCGUCUUCUCGUCCUCAACCUAGGCUGGCUCAUCCAGGAGGACCUAUGAAGACGAAUAAGGCAGCAGCUUUAGCGAAAUUUCUUGACAGGAAAUUGCAGGACCCUAGCGGCUUGUCAUCUCUUGAUCCUCGUCUCAUUGAACUCGCCGUCAAUAAUGCUAAACAUACUCUUCAAGCCAGUGGGACGCGGCCCUGGAGAAAAAAAAAUAGAACUGCAAGUGAUCUAUUUAGUCUCAUAGUGGCAUAUGCAUUUAACUAAUUACCUACUUCUCCAACAUUCAUACUGUCUUCUCAGGUUGAGCACAUGCUGAAUGAU